RNAcentral lists this ribosomal RNA (681 nucleotides) under Triticum aestivum (bread wheat). RNAcentral describes it as "partial small subunit ribosomal RNA". The record is from RNAcentral. Lineage: Eukaryota; Viridiplantae; Streptophyta; Magnoliopsida; Poales; Poaceae.
AUGGCGGCGCCCGUGACGGUGUACGGGCCGGCGAUCUCGCCGGCGGUGGCGCGCGUGGCGGCGUGCCUGCUGGAGAAGGACGUGCCGUUCCAGCUCGAGGCGGUGGACAUGUCCAAGGGCGAGCACAAGUCCCCCUCCUUCCUCAAGCUCCAGCCCUUCGGCCAGGUCCCCGCCUUCAAAGACCACCUCACCACCGUCUUCGAGUCAAGGGCCAUUUGCCGUUACAUCUGUGACCAGUACUCCGACCGUGGCAACCAGACUCUCCUAGGCCGGAAAGAAGACGGCGCGGUAGGCCGCGCUGCCAUCGAGCAAUGGGUAGAGUCCGAAGGCCAAGCAUUUAACCCGCCGAGCUUGGCCAUCGCAUUCCAGCUCACCUUCGCGCCUCUCAUGGGCAUGGCCACCGACAUGGCCGUGGUGGAGCAGAAUGAGGCGAAGCUCGCCAAGGUGCUCGACGUGUAUGAGCGGCGGCUGGCGGAGAGCCAGUAUUUCGCCGGCGACGAGUUCACCCUUGCCGACCUUGUGCACAUGCCCAACACUGAUCUCCUCGUGAGCAAGGCCGGCAAGGCGGGUCUGAUCACCGAGAGAAAGAAUCUGUCCAGAUGGUGGGAUGAGGUCUCGGCUCGUCCGUCAUGGAAGAAGGUUGUCGAGUUGCAGAGUGUACCACGGCCCUCUAAAGCUUGA